This 353-nucleotide ribosomal RNA is filed under the name uncultured bacterium. Its description in RNAcentral is "bacterial SSU rRNA". It matches the Rfam family "Bacterial small subunit ribosomal RNA", at positions 29 to 407 of the family's 1533-position model. The record is from RNAcentral.
AACGAACGCUGGCGGCAGGCUUAACACAUGCAAGUCGAGCGCUCGCAGCAAUGCGGGAGCGGCAGACGGGUGAGUAACGCGUGGGAACAUACCCUCCGGUUCGGAAUAACGCAGGGAAACCUGUGCUAAUACCGGAUACGGUCGAGAGGCGAAAGAUUUAUCGCCGGAGGAUUGGCCCGCGUUCGAUUAGCUAGUUGGUGGGGUAAUGGCCCACCAAGGCGACGAUCGAUAGCUGGUCUGAGAGGAUGAUCAGCCACAUUGGGACUGAGACACGGCCCAAACUCCUACGGGAGGCAGCAGUGGGGAAUAUUGGACAAUGGGCGCAAGCCUGAUCCAGCCAUGCCGCGUGAGUG